GCACGGGUACCCAAGCGGCCUACGGGACCAGGCUUAGAACCUGGUGGCUCAGUGCCUUCGGCGGUUCGAAUCCGCCCCCGUGCACCA
Molecule: transfer RNA, 87 nt
Filed under: Candidatus Iainarchaeum sp.
Lineage: Archaea; Nanobdellati; Candidatus Iainarchaeota; Candidatus Iainarchaeia; Candidatus Iainarchaeales; Candidatus Iainarchaeaceae
Description: tRNA-Leu
Rfam family: tRNA
About the family: Transfer RNA (tRNA) molecules are approximately 80 nucleotides in length. Their secondary structure includes four short double-helical elements and three loops (D, anti-codon, and T loops).
Source: RNAcentral